GACGAACGCUGGCGGCGUGCCUAACACAUGCAAGUCGAACGGAAAGGCUCUGCUGUAGUUGGCUGCACGAGUGGCUAACGGGUGCGUAACAGGGGAGUAACCUGCCCUUGCCUUUGGGGUAACGUCAGGAAACUGGGGCUAAUAACGGCUAGUAGCUCCUACUGCUUGUUAGGGGUUGGAAAGUUGCGGCGGUUGGGGAUUGACUCGCGGCUUAUCAGCUUGUUGGUGUGGUAGUGGCUUACCAAGGUAUUGACGGGUAGCCGGCCUGAGAGGGUGACCGGCCACAUUGGGACUGAGAUACGAGCCAGACUCCUACGGGAGGCAGCAGUGGGGAUUAUUGCACAAUGGGCGGAAGGCUUAUGCAGCAACGCCGCGUGCUGGAUGACGGUCGUCGGGGUGUAAACCGCGUGCGCGUGUGACGAAGCGAGAGUGACGGUAAUGGGUAAAGAAGCACCGGCUAACUACGUG
This 468-nucleotide ribosomal RNA is filed under the name uncultured bacterium. Its description in RNAcentral is "partial 16S ribosomal RNA". It matches the Rfam family "Bacterial small subunit ribosomal RNA", at positions 28 to 507 of the family's 1533-position model. The record is from RNAcentral.